CUUGUACACACCGCCCGUCACACCAUGAGAGUUUGUAACACCCAAAGUCGGUGGGGUAACCUUUUAGGAGCCAGCCGCCUAAGGUGGGACAGAUGAUUAGGGUGAAGUCGUAACAAGGUAGCCGUAGGAGAACCUGCGGCUGGAUCACCUCCUUUCUAAGGAAUUAAUCGGAAACCUACACAUUGUCGAAACUUUGUUUAGUUUUGAG
Molecule: unclassified non-coding RNA, 208 nt
Filed under: Limosilactobacillus fermentum
Lineage: Bacteria; Bacillati; Bacillota; Bacilli; Lactobacillales; Lactobacillaceae
Description: partial contains 16S ribosomal RNA and 16S-23S ribosomal RNA intergenic spacer
Rfam family: Bacterial small subunit ribosomal RNA (bases 1-155)
Source: RNAcentral